GACGUCACCCGACAUCCAGGCUUUAGCCAACGGAAAAUCCAGGUCCUCAGACUCACCAUCGCUGCACCGGUACCGACAGAGUCCGUCAUCUCCGCCGAACAGGUCCAGCGCUGCGUUCAGGAGGGGAAGCCACCGCCGAAGAACAUGUUGAAGAGGUCUUCAGGCGUGAUGUCGGCCUCGAAGCCCCGGUGGAAGUCGAAGCCGCCGCCGCCGUGGGAUUGGCUGGG
Poeciliopsis prolifica (blackstripe livebearer) is the source of this 227-nucleotide long non-coding RNA. RefSeq lists it as uncharacterized. The transcript has 3 exons. The record is from RefSeq and is a predicted model, not a curated record. Lineage: Eukaryota; Metazoa; Chordata; Actinopteri; Cyprinodontiformes; Poeciliidae.